UCUUGUAGGUACAGCUUUGAUGAAUGCAAUCCUAAUUCUAGCCUUGUGUCUAUUGAUCCUCGGAUGUCGGCCAUAUACGUGGAAACAACUGGCCUUGUGGGGAAUGAUGGUCCAAGGGAGAAGCUUGUCAAUUUGUUGACAGAUACCGAGGAGAAUCUCAAGGUGGUGUCUAUAUUGGGAUUUGGGGGACUGGGUAAAACUACACUUGCAAAAGAGGUGUAUAAUCAAAUCUGGGGGAAAUUUGACUGUAAAGCCUUUGUUCCCGUAUCACAAAAGCCUAAUAUGGUAGGGCUUCUCAAUCGACUACAACUAAAACUUGGGAUGGAGGGGUCUUCUCAGUCUUGUGUGGUGGAUGACAUCAUUGACGACCUCAGAGAAUAUCUCAUAGAGAACAGGUACCUUGUUGUAAUUGAUGACUUGUGGGACCAGUCAAAAUGGUAUACAAUCAGUCGUGCCUUUCCUGAAAAUGCUAAUGGGAGUAGAGUAAUAGUAACCACACGGGUAGAAGAUGUGGCUUGUGGAGCAUGUUACAGUCGCCCUGAAUGCAUUUAUAGAAUGAAGCCCCUGGAUGAGAAAGACUCAAAAAAGUUGUUUUUCCGUAGAGUAUAUGGGUCCGAAGAUGAUCAUCCGUCCCAACUUGAAGAAAUCUCGACUGAAAUUUUGAAGAAGUGUGGUGGACUCCCACUUGCAAUCAUUACUAUAGCUAGCUUAUUAGCUAGUCGUCCGGAAAGGUUAAGGGAUGAGUGGGAGAUCAUUAGGAACUCUCUUGGAACCCAGUUUGCGGUAAAUCCCACAUUGGAAGGGAUGCGGAGUAUAUUAAACCUCAGCUACAUUCAUCUUCCUGUUCAUCUUCGGGCAUGUUUUAUGCACCUUGGUAUAUAUCCAGAAGACAGCGAGAUUGAGAGGGAUGAUUUGGUUCGGCAAUGGUUAGCUGAAAGAUUUGUUAGUAAUUUGCAUGGGCAAGACAUGGAAGUUGUUGCAAAGAGCUAUUUCAAUGAGCUUGUCAACAGAAGCUUGAUUCAGCCUCAAUAUACUGACUAUGGGGAGUUGUUAUCGUGCAGAGUACAUGAUAUGAUGCUCGAUUUGAUCCAAAGCAAGUGUGGAGAGCAUAAUUUUGUCAGAUUUGUAUGCAAUUCUGAAGACAUGAAAAAAGAGCAUGGUUGGAAGUACAAAGUCCGUCGUAUAUCCAUGAAUUUAAGUGCUGGUGAUGCAAGAGAUGAGACAACAUCCGGGACCAUCCCUUUUAGCAUGUCACAAGUUCGAUCACUUGCACACUUUGGAGGAUCCAAAUACAUGCCCCAUCUUUUGCAUUUCAAGUAUCUGAGGGUGAUUAGAAUCUCGGGCGAACUAUUCGAUACUACUGUCGAUCUCACUGCUAUUAGCCAAUUGUGCCUACUGAGAUAUUUAAAGGUUUCUGUCAAACGAUACAUAAGCCUCCCUACUGAAAUGCAAGGGCUUGUGCAUUUGGAGACACUGGAUUUGGAUUGCAAAUUGCGAAAACUCCCAUCAGAUAUAGUUCACUUACACUGUUUAUCCCACUUGAUAGUUCCAUACAAGACAGAGCUGCCUAAAGGGGUUAGGAACAUGAAAUCACUUUGCACUCUGGAUGGCUUUGAACUACGGCAUCGACAGUUGGAAGAUAUUGAGGGACUCGCUGAGCUGACCAAUCUGAGGUGCCUGAGGCUCUUUGGUGUCUCGAGCAUAAGGGAAGAAGAGGUUGUUGCUUUGGCAUCCUCCAUUGGGAUGUUGCAUGACCUCACAUAUCUCCAGAUCGAUGGUAGUUUCUUUGAUACGAGCAACCUGCUGGGCUCUUUAUCAGAUCCUUCUCAUCAUAUCAAGGUACUUAUAAUUAAUGAGUGGAGAUGCCUAGAGUUCCUAAAUGGAUUUGUGGUCUCCAAUGCCUCUCCUGGCUAG
Molecule: ribosomal RNA, 1914 nt
Filed under: Triticum aestivum (bread wheat)
Lineage: Eukaryota; Viridiplantae; Streptophyta; Magnoliopsida; Poales; Poaceae
Description: partial small subunit ribosomal RNA
Source: RNAcentral